CGAGUCGUUUUUUAAAGAAAAAAACAAAGAAAAAAAAAAGAUGCCUAAUUGUACUCAACACUGCUUAAAAUAUGCUAUAAAUCUGGAUCUUUAAGAAAAAAAGAAAACGUUAUUACUUGGAGAUGGAACCGGUGUUAGCGACGAACAGUAUCAUCGGUUGAGACAGAGUUUGAUUGGACGUAAAAAAAAAUUGCAAAAAGACACGCUCGUGUUUUUGAAUAGGUUUGAGAGGGAGAGAGAGAGAGAGAGAGAGAGA
Molecule: long non-coding RNA, 256 nt
Organism: Apis florea (little honeybee)
Lineage: Eukaryota; Metazoa; Arthropoda; Insecta; Hymenoptera; Apidae
Source: RefSeq, a predicted model, not a curated record